AUGAACGCUGGCGGCGUGCCUAAUACAUGCAAGUCGAGCGAACGGACGAGAAGCUUGCUUCUCUGAUGUUAGCGGCGGACGGGUGAGUAACACGUGGAUAACCUACCUAUAAGACUGGGAUAACUUCGGGAAACCGGAGCUAAUACCGGAUAAUAUUUUGAACCGCAUGGUUCAAAAGUGAAAGACGGUCUUGCUGUCACUUAUAGAUGGAUCCGCGCUGCAUUAGCUAGUUGGUAAGGUAACGGCUUACCAAGGCAACGAUGCAUAGCCGACCUGAGAGGGUGAUCGGCCACACUGGAACUGAGACACGGUCCAGACUCCUACGGGAGGCAGCAGUAGGGAAUCUUCCGCAAUGGGCGAAAGCCUGGCGGAGCAACGCCGCGUGAGUGAUGAAGGUCUUCGGAUCGUUAAACUCUGUUAUUAGGGAAGAACAUAUGUGUAAGUAACUGUGCACAUCUUGACGGUACCUAAUCAGAAAGCCACGGCUAACUACGUG
Molecule: ribosomal RNA, 496 nt
Filed under: uncultured bacterium
Lineage: Bacteria
Description: partial 16S ribosomal RNA
Rfam family: Bacterial small subunit ribosomal RNA
Source: RNAcentral